Ipomoea triloba (trilobed morning glory) is the source of this 700-nucleotide long non-coding RNA. RefSeq lists it as uncharacterized. Lineage: Eukaryota; Viridiplantae; Streptophyta; Magnoliopsida; Solanales; Convolvulaceae. The transcript has 5 exons. The record is from RefSeq and is a predicted model, not a curated record.
CGCAAUGUCGUUUUUAUUUCUGCUACGUCCGCCACCAUCGCCAAACAUAGCCGAACGCCAUCGCCGACCAUCGCCGUCGACCAGAGUGCCCACCACCGACGCCAAAGGCCACAUCCACCAACGACCACCAAACAGAUCUUUCUGAAGCCUCUACUCGCGACCCUAACGCCACCGCCAAAACCUCUGGACUCCGAUUUCGUGCUUCUCUUUUCGACUUGCACAGAUUGAAAAGUAUGUGUUUAACAUCCAAAGAAGUGAUGCAUUUUGGAAGUGUUUAUCUAAACAAGAACAAUAAUUUGAUCAAAGGUUUCUAGUCUCAUUUGAAGCAAUCUUUCGUAAGCGAGGAAGAUGACAUGGGACCAUGGUCAAGCCACAGGCUAAUUCAGGUUUCUGGUAUCCUUAUAGGAAUGCAUUUAAAGUUGUUGAUGAGAUUGGUAUACACCCUUCACAAACUGGAUCAAAUCUGCACAAUAUUCACAAGAGGGAUUGGAGGUUGAAAAUUUUGGGACGUUUAAAUUAUGACCUCAACAUCUCGACCGCUCGACAAUGCUAAUUUCGCAAAUUUACAAGAAUUUAGAAUUUGAAGGCUACUAUUAUAUUGAUGUAUAGAUUUUGAAUUGACUAUUAUUACUUAAUAAAUAUGGAUUGAUAAUGUAUUAUUACUUGAAAGUAAUGUGAAUUGAUAAUAUUUUAGAAUUAA